Molecule: long non-coding RNA, 614 nt
Filed under: Homo sapiens (human)
Lineage: Eukaryota; Metazoa; Chordata; Mammalia; Primates; Hominidae
Description: long non-coding RNA NONHSAT191320.1
Source: RNAcentral
UUACAAACGUACUCCCAAGGAUAGUCAAAAUCUCCCUGCAAGUAUGCAUCAAAGAAGAGUUGUAAUGUCUGGCGGCGAAGUUCAAGGGGAAAGGUGGAAAUAACUGAGAGGAUUUAUUUCAGGACACAUUUCCACAUUUCUAAAGAAAGUGACAAUAAAACAUCAACAGUUCUUGGAUGUUGAAACAUAGCCAAAAGUGAGACCAUCAGGAGAAGGGCCUAAGAAGAACUAGAUUAACAGGAAGAAGGUGAAAAAGUGAUAAUAAAUCUUUUAAUCCUGCCACCUACACAGGCGAUUCUCCACCUACCAGAGGUGAGAGCAUAUCUUACUAGGUCACUAACAGCAGCAAAGUCUCUGAAGAAGAUGGGACCAUCUAGUUGCAGGAAAACCACCUCAGGGCUCCCACGGACUCUACCUUAUGGUUUUCCAGUUAAUAUGUGGACCAAAAAAGCACAACUGGACCAAUAUAUAAAAUAAACACACUCCUUUACUACAACAAUUCGGGAAACUAAAUUUUCAAUGAUGGAAGGAAUGGUUAUAUGGUUAAAACCAAAUGCUAAUGUUGGAUACUUUUAUUAAUUCAAUAAAUGAAUAUUCAUUUAUUUAUUUACUGA